UACGGACACUAGCUAAAAAACUCGGCGAGUCAGCUAGAAAGGCAGUGGAUGAGUUCUGCGACUGGAAGUUACAAGAUAAAGCACCAGGCAAAACAUUGGAAAAGCUUUGUACAGCAAGCAGGACAUAUCUCCCCACCUCAUCAGAGUGUGAGAGGGGGUUUUCUGCCGUCAAUGACACUGACAGCAAGACCCGCAAUAGACUGCGUAAAAACAGCCUCUCAUCGCUCCUUUUUGUGGAUCUUAAUGGACCCCCUUUGGAGAGAUUCGACCCAGCACCCUUCAUCACAUCCUGGAUUAAAUCAGGUCAUUGCCUGUCCACAUCAUGGGCUUCUGGACCAACAGCAAAGGAAGCUGAUCCCAGGCCUGUGUGGUCGCUUCUGUUUCAAGGUGGCACCCAGGGGUGAAGAGAUGGGCCCACUCGCUACCAAAACACAGGAUCCUCUCCCACCCAGUGACUCCCCAGAACAAGUUGAAGUUGAGGCCGAGUGCUCCGAAGACGCAGCAGGUGCUGAGGUAACGUUAGCUGCUACUGCUGCUACUGCUGCUAGCACAAGUGACUUGCCGGCUGGUUGGACAACGAAGCAGAAUGGAAAGAUCACAACCCUUGGCUUGACAUUAAGGCAGGAAAAUUGGGGUGUUUAGUGUGUAGAAAAGCAAAAACGUUGCUACUCUCAGAAAAAGGACCGGGUUUACACCUUGCAGAAGAAUGGCUCAACGGUGAUGUUAUUAGCUCUGAAGCAAAGAGAAGAAGAUUUACAAACACAGGGACAGUCAGGCCCACACAAGGUCAGUGGAAAUAACCCAGAUGAAAGAGAAAGACACUCUCCCGAACACUUUCAUUGAUAUACAGUCCGAUUUACUCAAGAAAGCCAAAGUCUUGUUCAGAACAGCUUACACCGUGGCAAAGGAAAGGCUAUAAUACAAAAAGUUCAACCCACUCAUGACAAUGCAGGAGGAUGCAAUGGAGCCGAAGUUGGUAAUAUCCACAAAUCUGACCAUGCAUGCGCAGAAAUAAUCAGUCACAUUGCCAAGGAAAUGCGCUGCAAAUUCGUCUGCAAUGUGAAAGAAAUGGAUUCACGGGUGUCAAUCACAAUUGAACUUACAGAUGGGGUCGAUGCUAAAUCCAUUUAUAACUCGAUGGCGAAUCUACAUAAAGCUGGAAUGGAUGAUGACUUUUUGAAGAUGCACCUGAUAAGCAUUGCCACCGAUGGAGCUGCGGUGCUCACAGGAAAAGCCUGUAGGCUUGUCGUUAGACUCAAAGAAAAGUUUCCGAACGUGCAGUCUGUUCACUGCCUGGCGCAUAGAUUUGAACUGGCUGUCAAAGAUGCUCUUAAAGAAGUGGCUGGCACUAAUCAGUUUGAGUUCUUUAUUUCAAAGUUGUACUCACUCUACAAUCAGUCAACCAGGAACGCCAGAUUGCUUAGAGAAGCUCGACAUGGAAAUACUGAAAAUAGGUCAAAUCUUCACCAUCAGAUGGGUUGCCAGCAGCUUUAAAACAGUAAAAGCAGUAUGGAAAGAUUUCCCCGCACUAGCACUCCAUUUCAAAACAGCCAGUGAGGACAUAUCGCGCAAUGAUCUUGAGAGGCAAAAAUACAAGGGACUUCUAAAGCACCUUGCUAACUCAGGAUUUGUGGAAGAUUUGGCUGUCAUGAAAGACAUCCUGUGUGAACUCCAGAGCCUGUCUCUCAAGCUGCAGAAAAGAGAAAUGUCACGCCAUCAAACAAA
This 1725-nucleotide long non-coding RNA is filed under the name Dicentrarchus labrax (European seabass). Its description in RNAcentral is "lncRNA (ENSDLAG00005034868.1)". The record is from RNAcentral. Lineage: Eukaryota; Metazoa; Chordata; Actinopteri; Moronidae.